RNAcentral lists this long non-coding RNA (823 nucleotides) under Scleropages formosus (Asian bonytongue). RNAcentral describes it as "lncRNA (ENSSFOG00015031616.1)". Lineage: Eukaryota; Metazoa; Chordata; Actinopteri; Osteoglossiformes; Osteoglossidae. The record is from RNAcentral.
GUAAUGUAACAGGAUUGCAAGUGCAACCCCCCCCCCCGCCCCCAACCCAGCAGAAUAUAAAGGAAAAUUUGUUUGAUAUUUUUCUCAAAAUGGCGACUGUGUUGAUGUGGGUAGUAAAGGCCUGUUGUUUUCCAGUCCUGGCUCUCGGACCCGACAAAUACGUUUGGGGCCGAUGGUAUCUGUAUUCAGCCAGCAUUGCGAGGGGGAGGUAUCUAGAAAAUGGCGAUGUCAUCUUUGCUGCAAGCUAUCAAGAUGGCUGCUCCGUUUUUCCGCGUCGCUACAUUUUAGCCCUGAGAUCAGAGGUCCGCUUGAAGAAUGAACACACGGCGCGCAAUCUCGCCUCGCGUUUCUCACCCGAUGUUACGCUCUAAAUUUCUUUUAAAAAAACAGUCAAAAAAAAAAACCACGGUGUCGUGGAGACGGAACUUUAGAAGGUGAUUCACUUUCCUGUUUCUUUCGCUUUGGUGCUCAACCGCAGAUGAGUAACGGUUCUCGUAAUUCACCCUUGUUGCUCUUUCUGCUAAUGCAAUGCACACAUUGUAUCUUCUGCGAGAAGUACGUUGCUUCAGAGAAAAGCGUCCGCUCAACGAAUAGAUGCGCGCGCGAAAAUGUUCGGAGAGCAAGGCCCUGGGAAAGAUGUCAACGCCUUUGCGUUCCGGGAGAGUGUGUUAUGAGCACUGCGUUCGUCAAAGGAGCGGCGGCAGCGAAGCGAGGCCCGGCGGUCCAGCGAGGCGAGCGUUCUCACCAGCUGCAGCAGGACACAGCUGGAGGUGCAAGUACGCCCCCUGGACAGGAUGCCGGUCCAUUGCAGGGAAGGGCCAGC